CACAGACCUAAAACUACCACGGAGAACUCUCUCUCUCUCUCUCUCUCUCUCUCUCUCUCUCUCAAUCAGUCAGUCGAUCGAGCGGCGCCCCGCUCCGGCCACCUCCCUCUCUCCCAACGAAGAGAAUAUCUUCAUCGUCUCCCUCUCUCUCCUGAGAUCCUUUCACUACGAAGUCAACCAUAACCAAACCCCAAAAUCAAAGAUUUCCCAUCACCGAAAGCGAAAUCUCGUGGGCUGGAACCAAGGCCCAGAUCAUGCGGCUUCGACCGCGAGAUUUCAGGCCAAAAAAUUCUGUUAUGGGAUAGGUUAAGAUCCCAGAGCCAGGCGAGGAACUGAGGUCACCACCGACGAAUUUGGUUCAGGGUCCCACAGAUCUAUUGGGUCUCGACUUGGACACAGUCCAGAAGCAUUUUCAUCUCUUCUUUCUUCUCCAUUCGUGUUGCAUGUAUACUAUUUUUAGUUGGUGAUGUUUUCUCCCUUCCUGAUUUUUGUUGCAAGUUCGCUUUUGUGGCUCUAUUCUGAAAUCGUGUAGUAAUAUUCCUCUUUACCACGGCUCUUUAGGGUUUCUGAUUAUAAAGCUUCUAAUUACAUUGUUGAUGUUUGCAUGCGGUAUUUGAUUUACAAACUUAGGGCAAUUAUGUUGGGUAGUCCGGAAAAUAUGUUUUAAUAUGCUGAAAGUUAUUGUUAAGCUACAAUUUAGUGCCUAAUCUGCAAAGGUAUGUUUGCAUUACAUAUUAAGGAUAUCCCAUUAUACUAUAUCUGAAAAAGAUUUUGUAUUUCCCUCGGGGCCAUUUUGUUCAUGAUUUCUCUGUCAUCUUUGCAGAUUUUCAUGAUUUCUCUGUCAUCUUUGCAGAUUAGACUUUAUAUUUUGUAUGCAUUUAUCAACCAUUCUCUCAAGUCAAUCUAAAGAAUAUUUUAUUGAACUUGGUUGGCUUUGUUAGUGACCCCUGAUUCUUUCCUAGACUGUGGCUGGGAACUCUCUCAUCACUGUAUAUCUUUGGUAGUUUGAUCUCUGGAAGUGCUUUGGUUGUCUGAGAUAGUACCUGGUUCUUUUCUUCAUUCUCUGUACUCCACAAGAAUUGCAAAGUUAGAUAGAUUUUUAAUGCAAACUUUCCAUGUAUCGAAAUGCUGUAAUUGGCCUACUCCAGCUUCUAGCAUCAAUAACUUCAGUUCUUUAGGGGUUUUUAAUCCGUUGCCACUUGAUUAUUUUGAUGAUGUUAUUGCAUUGUUGAUAUCCUUCAGGCGUGGGUAGAAAAUGUAAGAAAAUGCGUCUCAGAAAAAUCACAGGCUACAGUCGAGGCAGAUAUCCUUUACCAUUUACUAUCGGAGGUUGAGUUAUGCGGCUUAUGCCAGGCUCAGUGCAAGGAGAUGCUGAAAGGUUCAAUAAAUCUUAAGAAACUUGAGGCACUUUUUCAGGAAUUGGAUGAUUUCACUAUCAACAUUCCGAAGUUAAAACUUUUGAAGCAAUAUCGCAGUGAUGCUAUCUUGUGGAUUUCCUGUUUGAAUGGGAGGAUCAGGAAAAUGUGGUGAACGAGAUGUCUUCCAUUCAAAGGGAUGGAGAAUUGUUGAAAAUUUAAGUUAAUGAGUCAUCUCAGGUUGAGUUGAAGAAGGCUUGUUGCAGGGUAAAGGCCCUGAAGGCUCUCAGAAGUAAGAUGUCCUUGGACUUCAUCCAAGUAAUGACGGAGGCAACCAUGCUGCAGAUUGGGAAGGAGAGGUUGUUUGGCAAUAUUUCUGGAGUACUUUCAACUGCUAUGUUUUGGGAAGAAAGAUCGAGCAACACAUGUUCUUGCUAGUGAAGCUCAGAUGUUUGAUUUUGAGGAUGUUGUAAGGUAUAGUGCUUGUUCAUCCUUGGCAGCUGUGCUUUCUGGCUUGUAUCUUUUUGUAACUUUUGAGUUUCGAUAUUGUAGGACUUUUGAGGACAUAUGUGCUAUUCUACCUUCUGUUGGUGUUCUCAUGGAUGCCUUGUCGGUUGCCAAAUCCUGGUUAAAGAUGUCUGAGCCAUUUUUAGUUAUGCAAUUUGUCGUGCAGAUACUUAUGCAUAUGAAACAAACUUUUGCAGCCUUUUUUUAAUAGGCCUUUUGCAAUAAUAAAUAUAGCGUACUUGUGGGUA
This is a long non-coding RNA of Rhododendron vialii, 2110 nucleotides long. RefSeq lists it as uncharacterized. The record is from RefSeq and is a predicted model, not a curated record. Lineage: Eukaryota; Viridiplantae; Streptophyta; Magnoliopsida; Ericales; Ericaceae. The transcript is spliced from 6 exons.